RNAcentral lists this ribosomal RNA (254 nucleotides) under uncultured bacterium. Its description in RNAcentral is "partial 16S ribosomal RNA". It matches the Rfam family "Bacterial small subunit ribosomal RNA", at positions 355 to 625 of the family's 1533-position model. The record is from RNAcentral.
UGGGGAAUAUUGGACAAUGGGGGCAACCCUGAUCCAGCAAUGCCGCGUGUGUGAAGAAGGUCUUCGGAUUGUAAAGCACUUUCGACGGGGACGAUGAUGACGGUACCCGUAGAAGAAGCCCCGGCUAACUUCGUGCCAGCAGCCGCGGUAAUACGAAGGGGGCCUAGCGUUGCUCGGAAUGACUGGGCGUAAAGGGCGUGUAGGCGGUUUACACAGUCAGAUGUGAAAUCCCCGGGCUUAACCUGGGAGCUGCA